AACACGUGAGUAACCUGCCCUUAACUCUGGGAUAAGCCUGGGAAACUGGGUCUAAUACCGGAUAUGACUCCUCAUCGCAUGGUGGGGGGUGGAAAGCUUUUUGUGGUUUUGGAUGGACUCGCGGCCUAUCAGCUUGUUGGUGAGGUAAUGGCUUACCAAGGCGACGACGGGUAGCCGGCCUGAGAGGGUGACCGGCCACACUGGGACUGAGACACGGCCCAGACUCCUACGGGAGGCAGCAGUGGGGAAUAUUGCACAAUGGGCGCAAGCCUGAUGCAGCGACGCCGCGUGAGGGAUGACGGCCUUCGGGUUGUAAACCUCUUUCAGUAGGGAAGAAGCGAAAGUGACGGUACCUGCAGAAGAAGCGCCGGCUAACUACGUGCCAGCAGCCGCGGUAAUACGUAGGGCGCAAGCGUUAUCCGGAAUUAUUGGGCGUAAAGAGCUCGUAGGCGGUUUGUCGCGUCUGCCGUGAAAGUCCGGGGCUCAACUCCGGAUCUGCGGUGGGUACGGGCAGACUAGAGUGAUGUAGGGGAGACUGGAAUUCCUGGUGUAGCGGUGAAAUGCGCAGAUAUCAGGAGGAACACCGAUGGCGAAGGCAGGUCUCUGGGCAUUAACUGACGCUGAGGAGCGAAAGCAUGGGGAGCGAACAGGAUUAGAUACCCUGGUAGUCCAUGCCGUAAACGUUGGGCACUAGGUGUGGGGGACAUUCCACGUUUUCCGCGCCGUAGCUAACGCAUUAAGUGCCCCGCCUGGGGAGUACGGCCGCAAGGCUAAAACUCAAAGGAAUUGACGGGGGCCCG
This 800-nucleotide ribosomal RNA is filed under the name bacterium. RNAcentral describes it as "bacterial SSU rRNA". It matches the Rfam family "Bacterial small subunit ribosomal RNA", at positions 112 to 923 of the family's 1533-position model. The record is from RNAcentral.